UCGAGAAUCUUCCGCAAUGGGCGCAAGCCUGACGGAGCGACGCCGCGUGCGGGAUGAAGGCCUUCGGGUUGUAAACCGCUGUCAGUUGGGAGGAAAUGCUAUGGGGUUCUCUCCAUAGUUUGACCGAUCUUCAGAGGAAGUCCGGGCUAAGUUCGUGCCAGCAGCCGCGGUAAGACGAACCGGACGAACGUUAUUCGGAAUCACUGGGCUUAAAGAGUGCGUAGGCGGCUUUGUAGGUUGGGUGUGAAAUCCCACAGCUCAACUGUGGAACUGCGCCCAAAACCACAGGGCUCGAGGGAGGCAGAGGUAAGCGGAACUGAUGGUGGAGCGGUGAAAUGCGUUGAUAUCAUCAGGAACACCGGUGGCGUAGGCGGCUUACUGGGCCUCUUCUGACGCUGAGGCACGAAAGCUAGGGUAGCGAACGGGAUUAGAUACCCCCGUAGUCC
Molecule: ribosomal RNA, 446 nt
Filed under: uncultured prokaryote
Description: bacterial SSU rRNA
Rfam family: Bacterial small subunit ribosomal RNA
Source: RNAcentral